AUUGAACGCUGGCGGCAGGCCUAACACAUGCAAGUCGAACGAGUGGCGGACGGGUGAGUAAUGUCUGGGAAACUGCCUGAUGGAGGGGGAUAACUACUGGAAACGGUAGCUAAUACCGCAUACCAUCGGAUGUGCCCAGAUGGGAUUAGCUAGUAGGUGGGGUAAAGGCUCACCUAGGCGACGAUCCCUAGCUGGUCUGAGAGGAUGACCAGCCACACUGGAACUGGGACACGGGCCAGAAUCCUAUGGGAGGCAGCAGUGGGGAAUAUUGCACAAUGGGCGCAAGCCUAAUACAGCCAUGCCGCGUGAAUGAAGAACGCCUUCGGGUUGUAAAGUACUGUCAGCGGGGAGGCGUUAACCGCAGAAGAAGCACCGGCUAUCACCGUGCCAGCAGCCGCGGUAAUUC
This 406-nucleotide ribosomal RNA is filed under the name uncultured bacterium. RNAcentral describes it as "partial 16S ribosomal RNA". It matches the Rfam family "Bacterial small subunit ribosomal RNA", at positions 30 to 526 of the family's 1533-position model. The record is from RNAcentral.